AAGUCGAGCGAACAGACGAGGAGCUUGCUCCUCUGACGUUAGCGGCGGACGGGUGAGUAACACGUGGGUAACCUACCUAUAAGACUGGGAUAACUCCGGGAAACCGGGGCUAAUACCGGAUAACACAUGAAACCGCAUGGUUUCAUGAUGAAAGACGGUUUUGCUGUCACUUAUAGAUGGACCCGCGGCGUAUUAGCUAGUUGGUAAGGUAACGGCUUACCAAGGCAACGAUACGUAGCCGACCUGAGAGGGUGAUCGGCCACACUGGAACUGAGACACGGUCCAGACUCCUACGGGAGGCAGCAGUAGGGAAUCUUCCGCAAUGGGCGAAAGCCUGACGGAGCAACGCCGCGUGAGUGAUGAAGGUCUUCGGAUCGUAAAACUCUGUUAUUAGGGAAGAACAAGGAUGUAAGUAACUAUGCAUCCCUUGACGGUACCUAAUCAGAAAGCCACGGCUAACUACGUGCCAGCAGCCGCGGUAAUACGUAGGUGGCAAGCGUUAUCCGGAAUUAUUGGGCGUAAAGCGCGCGUAGGCGGUUUUUUAAGUCUGAUGUGAAAGCCCACGGCUCAACCGUGGAGGGUCAUUGGAAACUGGAAAACUUGAGUGCAGAAGAGGAAAGUGGAAUUCCAUGUGUAGCGGUGAAAUGCGCAGAGAUAUGGAGGAACACCAGUGGCGAAGGCGACUUUCUGGUCUGCAACUGACGCUGAUGUGCGAAAGCGUGGGGAUCAAACAGGAUUAG
This 740-nucleotide ribosomal RNA is filed under the name uncultured Staphylococcus sp. RNAcentral describes it as "bacterial SSU rRNA". It matches the Rfam family "Bacterial small subunit ribosomal RNA", at positions 59 to 781 of the family's 1533-position model. The record is from RNAcentral. Lineage: Bacteria; Bacillati; Bacillota; Bacilli; Caryophanales; Staphylococcaceae.